CAAUCCACUGCGUGUCCAAGUGGUUCCUCUGUUUGCUCAAGGAACUAUGUCGAAUAACUGCGCCGUUUAUAGUUGCGCAUAUGCCUACGAUUCCAUGAUAAAUCCGGAAAUUCCAUUGGAAGGUAGAAAUUACGGCGCGGAAAAAGAAUUCCGUCAGUGGCUGCGCAAUGUCAUCACGUCAGAAAAGUUAUCCGAACCUCCAUCUGAAGCUGGUCGAACAAACAAAACUACAACCGCUCCGGCGGAGCCAGUGUUCACACUAACCUCAGCGUAUGUGGAGGAUCUUCGAGUUGCCCGAAAGGUGCCUGUCGUCGAUGUCCUUUGUGAAAAGAGUGGCAGGCCAGAGUGAAGAAAAACAGCUCACCGUGAAGAGCGUAAACAACUGGAGCCGGGAUGCCGUUCUGAUUUGUUUGGUCUUUUUGGAGUUUAAUUUAUCACAUCUUUAGUUUGCUAUUACUUAAACUGAGAGCAAAUGGAGUUCGGUUUCGAAAUGGAGUUCACUGCGGUCACCUCCACUACCGCUUCCUGCCCAAAGUGGAAGACGACCUGGUCAACUCCCUCAAGUUCCGCAAAGGGAUGACGCGCAACUUCUCCAACGGCGCCCCUACCGCUCUCUUUCAACUGCUUUUCUGGCGCUGUCUCCUUUCCGCCAUACAGAUACUUGCAAUUUUAAUCUCUCGAAAAUUAAUAUU
Paramacrobiotus metropolitanus is the source of this 692-nucleotide long non-coding RNA. RefSeq lists it as uncharacterized. The record is from RefSeq and is a predicted model, not a curated record. The transcript is spliced from 3 exons. Lineage: Eukaryota; Metazoa; Tardigrada; Eutardigrada; Parachela; Macrobiotidae.